Molecule: long non-coding RNA, 903 nt
Filed under: Astyanax mexicanus (Mexican tetra)
Lineage: Eukaryota; Metazoa; Chordata; Actinopteri; Characiformes; Acestrorhamphidae
Description: lncRNA (ENSAMXG00005008828.1)
Source: RNAcentral
GUCAAUUUUAGUCACUAAGGCUGGAAACUAGUGAAUAAAUGUAAAUUUAAAGAAAAAAAAUACACAACCAUAUAUAUAUUUGGAAAUAUAAGAGUUAGUAGAAUAUAACCCAGUGAUUUCCAUGGCUUACAUUUGAGGGAUUUUUUUUAGCCAACAUUUUUCAGCCAAAUACUGCCUAUAACUACCUAAGCUAAGGUCGUGCUAAGAGUGUUCGCGUUGUGUAAAUCAGACGGGUUUGGACCUCCACGGCUGCCGUAGUGUCAGUCUGAAGCGCUUCGAGUUGAGAGUUGAGGCAGGUCUUGUUGGGUGUUCUCAGUAUGCAGUGUUCAAUACCUACCAAAAGUCCUCCAAGGUCUUGGGGUUCAUGGAGGCCCAAUCUCACAACUUUACUACAGGACCUAAAUGAUCUGCUGCUGAUGUCUUGGUGCCAGAUACCACAGGACACAACCAGAGGUCUUGUGGACUCUACGACUUAAUGGGUCUGAUCUGUUUCUGCAACACAAAGGGGACCAACACAAUAUUAGACACAAACAUGUGACCCAAGACUUUGACAGCUGCAGCAGCAAAGCCAAGGGACCCAUUCAUACUGAACCAGGACAGAGUGGGUAGAGUCAACACUUUGGCUGCUAACACACACUCCUGGAGUAAUGAAGCUAAUCAUGUGACACUGAGUAACAGGAUGGGUAAUCCCAGCGAACAGUUUUAGGUUAGUAGAAUGUUUUACAUUCUUAGUCAAGUUUUCUGGAUGCUCUUAGAGUGUUUUUAUUUAACAAUUUAACCAUUAUUAUGUCACAAAUUUUCAGAACAUUACUGAAACAUUAUUUCUAUAACAUUACAGGCUAACCUUCCUGGAACCUUCUCAAAAUGUUGAUAAACAUUCUUAUAACAUUUUCUGUUUGCUAG